Molecule: long non-coding RNA, 434 nt
Filed under: Mus pahari (shrew mouse)
Lineage: Eukaryota; Metazoa; Chordata; Mammalia; Rodentia; Muridae
Description: lncRNA (MGP_PahariEiJ_G0005006.1)
Source: RNAcentral
AGAAUCAAUGGCGCCUCCAUGGCAGGGAGAGGGAAUCCCCUUCACUUCCUCCUGGGCAGUAUCUAGCCAUAAUGUAUCAGUGGACAAGAGCCACAUUAGUGACAUCUUAGCUCCACUUCAACAGGACAAUCUUAGACUGACCAGUGACAAUGCCUUGGGAACAGGCCUUGACAUCUGUGAUUACAGGACCUGUAUCUGUGGUAGAAUUGGAGAAUGUUCAUCCUUGUCCUCGUCCCAUCUGGCAGGGCAUCAUGCAUCUGGCUCAGGAUUCAUGUUGAGCACCGGUGACAUGGGACUGAUGUCAACUGCAGCUGUAUAUAGCAAAGGCACUCCCAUUCAGAAUUUACAAGGCACUUGUACCUUAAUUAACAGAACUUAUAUCCAAUAAAUACUAAACUCACUUAAAUUUCAAUAAAAUUAAAUGUCCAUGCUUA